Molecule: long non-coding RNA, 368 nt
Filed under: Medicago truncatula (barrel medic)
Lineage: Eukaryota; Viridiplantae; Streptophyta; Magnoliopsida; Fabales; Fabaceae
Description: long non-coding RNA (MTRU_LNC006403)
Source: RNAcentral
AAAAACCCCAUCCCCUAAAAUUCAACCACCACCACAUCCACCCAAAAAAGCACCUGUUUCUCUACCACCAUUAUCUAUACCACCUGUUUCACUUCCACCAUUACCAUUACCACCAGCUUCUAAACCACCAAAGGUAUCCCCAGCACCUGCAAAGGUUCCAAAAGCACCAGCACCGGCCAAAGAAGCACCAGCACCAGCACCUACACACAAAAAGAAAGCACCAGCACCCGCACCAGACAAAGAAACACCGGCACCAGCACCUACACACAAAAAGAAGAAAGCACCAAAAUCAUCACCUGUUCCUUCCCCAGCAAUUCUCCCACCAUCACCUGCACCAACACCUGCAAUAGACACACCAUCAUCAGCAC